Molecule: ribosomal RNA, 452 nt
Filed under: uncultured bacterium
Lineage: Bacteria
Description: partial 16S ribosomal RNA
Rfam family: Bacterial small subunit ribosomal RNA
Source: RNAcentral
AACGAACGCUGGCGGCAUGCCUAAUACAUGCAAGUCGAACGAGUGCCUUUGGGUGCUAGUGGCGCACGGGUGCGUAACGCGUGGGAAUCUGCCCUUGGGUUCGGAAUAACUUCGGGAAACUGAAGCUAAUACCGGAUGAUGUCGAUAAGACCAAAGAUUUAUCGCCCAGGGAUGAGCCCGCGUAGGAUUAGCUAGUUGGUGGGGUAAAGGCCUACCAAGGCGACGAUCCUUAGCUGGUCUGAGAGGAUGAUCAGCCACACUGGGACUGAGACACGGCCCAGACUCCUACGGGAGGCAGCAGUAGGGAAUAUUGGACAAUGGGCGAAAGCCUGAUCCAGCAAUGCCGCGUGAGUGAUGAAGGCCUUAGGGUUGUAAAGCUCUUUUACCCGGGAUGAUAAUGACAGUACCGGGAGAAUAAGCUCCGGCUAACUCCGUGCCAGCCGCCGCGGUAA